UUUCCGUAGGUGAACCUGCGGAAGGAUCAUUAUCGAACCAAAUGUGCGGGGCAUGCUAGGCCUGUCCCUGAUCCAACCGUCUUCCACGGCCGAGUGAGUCCUCUUGCACAAUAAUCCAUCUCACCCUUUGUCCAUCGCCGCGUGGGCACCCUUUGGGUUCAUCUCGGAGGGGGGCUCGCGUUUUCACUCAAACCCCCCUUUUAAAAGUGUAGAAUGACGACAUUUAAGCAAUAAAUACAACUUUCAACAACGGAUCUCUUGGCUCUC
This 267-nucleotide unclassified non-coding RNA is filed under the name plant metagenome. Its description in RNAcentral is "partial contains small subunit ribosomal RNA, internal transcribed spacer 1, and 5.8S ribosomal RNA". The record is from RNAcentral.